AGAGCGAACGCUGGCGGCAGGCCUAAUACAUGCAAGUCGAACGGAUCCUUCGGGAUUAGUGGCGGACGGGUGAGUAACACGUGGGAACGUGCCCUUUGGUUCGGAACAACUCAGGGAAACUUGAGCUAAUACCGAAUGUGCCCUUCGGGGGAAAGAUUUAUCGCCAUUGGAGCGGCCCGCGUCUGAUUAGCUAGUUGGUGAGGUAAAGGCUCACCAAGGCGACGAUCAGUAGCUGGUCUGAGAGGAUGAUCAGCCACACUGGGACUGAGACACGGCCCAGACUCCUACGGGAGGCAGCAGUAGGGAAUCUUGCGCAAUGGGCGAAAGCCUGACGCAGCCAUGCCGCGUGAAUGAUGAAGGUCUUAGGAUUGUAAAAUUCUUUCAGCGGGACGAUAAUGACGGUACCCGCAGAAGAAGCCCCGGCUAACUUCGUGCCAGCAGCCGC
RNAcentral lists this ribosomal RNA (445 nucleotides) under uncultured bacterium. Its description in RNAcentral is "SSU rRNA". It matches the Rfam family "Bacterial small subunit ribosomal RNA", at positions 26 to 518 of the family's 1533-position model. The record is from RNAcentral.